AGUGAACGCUGGCGGUAGGCCUAACACAUGCAAGUCGAACGGCAGCACAGUAAGAGCUUGCUCUUACGGGUGGCGAGUGGCGGACGGGUGAGGAAUACAUCGGAAUCUACUUUUUCGUGGGGGAUAACGUAGGGAAACUUACGCUAAUACCGCAUACGACCUACGGGUGAAAGCAGGGGAUCUUCGGACCUUGCGCGAUUGAAUGAGCCGAUGUCGGAUUAGCUAGUUGGCGGGGUAAAGGCCCACCAAAGCGACGAUCCGUAGCUGGUCUGAGAGGAUGAUCAGCCACACUGGAUCUGAGACACGGUCCAGACUCCUACGGGAGGCAGCAGUGGGGAAUAUUGGACAAUGGGCGCAAGCCUGAUCCAGCCAUACCGCGUGGGUGAAGAAGGCCUUCGGGUUGUAAAGCCCUUUUGUUGGGAAAGAAAAGCAGCAGGUUAAUACCCCGCUGUUCUGACGGUACCCAAAGAAUAAGCACCGGCUAACUUCGUG
Molecule: ribosomal RNA, 492 nt
Filed under: uncultured bacterium
Lineage: Bacteria
Description: partial 16S ribosomal RNA
Rfam family: Bacterial small subunit ribosomal RNA
Source: RNAcentral